AGAGUUUGAUCCUGGCUCAGGAUGAACGCUGGCGGCGUGCCUAACACAUGCAAGUCGAACGGCAGCAUGUCCUGUAGCAAUACAGGAUGAUGGCGAGUGGCGGACGGGUGCAAAACGCGUAAAUAAUCUUCCCUUUAGACGGACAUAACCUUGAGAAAUCAGGGCUAAUUUCCGAUAAGUUCCCGAGGUCGCAUGAUCUUGGGAGGAAAUCCCGCAAGGGGCUGAAGGAUGAGUUUGCGUCUGAUUAGCUAGUUGGCGGGGUAAUGGCCCACCAAGGCGAUGAUCAGUAGCUGGUCUGAGAGGACGGACAGCCACACUGGGACUGAGAUACGGCCCAGACUCCUACGGGAGGCAGCAGUGGGGAAUAUUGCUCAAUGGGCGAAAGCCUGAAGCAGCGACGCCGCGUGAACGAAGAAGUCCUUCGGGAUGUAAAGUUCUUUCGACAGGGAAAAUAAUGAUGGUACCUGGAGAAGAAGGCCCGGCUAACUAUGUGCCAGCAGCCGCGGUAAUACAUAGGGGCCAAGCGUUAUCCGGAUUUAUUGGGCGUAAAGCGCGUGUAGGUGGUCGACUAAGUCAGGCGUCAAAUCUAGAGGCUCAACCUCUAAUCGCGCCUGAAACUGAUCGACUUCGAGGGAGGGAGAGGAUAGCGGAACUCACAGUGUAGCGGUGAAAUGCGUAGAUAUUGUGAGGAACACCAGUGGCGAAGGCGGCUAUCUGGACCUUUUCUGACGCUGAGACGCGAAAGCGUGGGGAGCAAACAGGAUUAGAUACCCUGGUAGUCCACGCUGUAAACGAUGUUC
RNAcentral lists this ribosomal RNA (800 nucleotides) under uncultured bacterium. RNAcentral describes it as "bacterial SSU rRNA". It matches the Rfam family "Bacterial small subunit ribosomal RNA", at positions 8 to 814 of the family's 1533-position model. The record is from RNAcentral.